Long non-coding RNA from Engraulis encrasicolus (European anchovy), 788 nucleotides. RefSeq lists it as uncharacterized. The record is from RefSeq and is a predicted model, not a curated record. The transcript has 3 exons. Lineage: Eukaryota; Metazoa; Chordata; Actinopteri; Clupeiformes; Engraulidae.
AGUGACCCUUUGAAUUAAAAAGGUUCCUCACCCCUGCUUUUGAGGAAAAACAUCAAUGUGCUUGGCCACUCUGGUUUUUAAAUUAUUCUGAACUAAAGCAAGGAUUGUUCAAGGAAGUUCAAAACAGACUGUCUCUGGUUAAGUUAGUUCUACACCAAGCCUUUAGGUGGCAGUACAACUAAUUCGCACAAUGCGAAUUCCACACACAAGCCACAAAGAAGCCAUCUACCGCGGUCAACACCUAUCUGAUUGAACAGAACCACGCGCUGUCUGUGUGGUUUCACUGUUACAAGUUUCUUGGCGAUAUGGGGGAAAGUUCCUCACAUACCAACGGAAAAUGGGCUUCACAUACAUGCUGCUGUCUCAUAAUAUGGCGAAGACGAGUCACUUGAAGGCCUAACAGCUCUUAUGAGGAGCAGUCUUGCCAUAGAAGACUGAAAGAAUGUAAGAUUAACUUCUUUGUGACCAAUAUGACUUGCUCAUUGAUACAUUUGCUAUGUCAAUAUGAGAUGCAUGGCGAAGUAUUUAAUUUAUUUGUCUCUCUUCUAGGAGCUGUAGAAACAACAGGGUGCCUGCUGCAGUAUGACGAGGACGCCCUGAUCAUAGAAGGUCCAGUGUCUUGGCAGGGUGAAAUGGCACUGAUAUCGUGUCCUGCAGGAUGCUGUGUCCUGCAAUCCUGUGUGCUGUGCUACAGACGCGUGUGGAGGUCAACCCGAAAUGGGCACAGUAGAGUGAAAGAGGGUAAGCUUAACCUAUAGCCUACGUCAGGGUUGGGGAACCUUUCUCAU